Molecule: long non-coding RNA, 1254 nt
Organism: Peromyscus eremicus (cactus mouse)
Lineage: Eukaryota; Metazoa; Chordata; Mammalia; Rodentia; Cricetidae
Exons: 4
Source: RefSeq, a predicted model, not a curated record
CCCGCUCCUCCCCAACCCCACCCGCCCUUCUGCGCCCGGGGAGCAGACGUCUCCUGAGGAAAACCAGAUUCCCUCUGAAGAGAUUCCUCUUGUCCUGUCAGGCACGUCAAAAAUGCUCACACUCACUUCAGAAACAACCCGUGACGCCAGCACCUGGUUGUUGUGUGAGUCCCACAGAACUGCCUGAUUUCUGUAGACGACUUGUUUCUGAAAACCAGGAAGGAGGAUGCCCAGGGUCAUGUCACAGAAUUCUCCGGGAGAGGAUUGCGAGUUACAUAGGCUGUGAGUGUCCUCAGGGAACACGAAGUCCUCUGAAUUAAGCACACCAUCAGUCCAAGUGCUCAACAUCUUUUUGGAGCCCUUCCUGGAUCAUCAACCUCAAAUCUUAUUUGCAUUCUGUUUAAGUAUUUAAAGUUGCUUAUUAGUGUUUUGUAAGACAGAGCCAAGGACAGAAUGCUGUUACCAUUAAAGACCUCGUUCUUUCUAUCAAACAUUCCUCGGUGGACUUUGAGUACAGUACUGACAACUUCCACAUUUAUGUAACUGAACCGUCUUCUUAAUUCAUAUUCUUCAAAAAAAAAAAAGUGAGAAUUUGUAGACUACAAGUAAACUGUCUCCAGAAUUCCUAGAAACUGUUGGCCAUGCAUGAAAGGAAAAAUACUGUGGCAUCAUAGAAAAGUCUGGGCUCUCUAUAAAGAAAUCAGAAAAGGCUGGGGAGAAUGAAGCCUUGAAAGGUAGGGAACAAAAAAAUGAAGCCAGGGGAAAGAAGAAGCUGGGAAGACAGACCGCCAAGCCUCCCAUAGCCAGCAUCAACCAGACUAUCCAUUCCCCUCUUCCUCAGGCUCACAUCCAGGCUGCUGUAACCAACACACACUUACAGAGAAGCAAGGCUGAAAUAGGUCACUGGAGAUCUCCUGGGUGUCGAACAGGAGGAUUGUUUCCAAAUAGCACGUCUCUGCUUCUCUUUUCACAUUUCUUUAGCAGAAGGUGUUGCUGUGUGCUGGACAGCCAACUAAGCAUUUGGUGAAAGGCUGCCUGGCAUUGUUCUACUACUCCUGCAUCACAAUGUGCUGACAUAGCUCUGAAGUAAGAAGGGAAGGAGCAGCCGAAAGAUGAGGAUUGGUGCCGGCAUUCCUGAGAAGCCCAGACUUGUGGGUGGAAGUUCUGGGGCUUUUUAGAGGUGAAAAGCCAUCUUGAUGAUGGUGGGGCUGGAGAAGAUAUAAUAAAAAUGGAAAAAAUAUCAUUUGUCAUUCA